ACCAGGCACAGCACCCAGGGAGCCCCAUGGAGGGUGGGCAGGGCUGUGGGAUCUCUCCUCUCUCAGCACCCUGCACAGCACCCAGGGAGCCCAUGGAGGGUGGGCAGGGCUGUGGGGUCUCUCCUCUCUCAGCACCAGGCACAGCACCCAGGGAGCCCAUGGAGGGUGGGCAGGGCUGUGGGGUCUCUCCUCUCUGUGUCUAUAAUUUAAGGGGGAGAGUCCACUAGGAACAGUGUGCCUGAGGCCCUGGAAGAAAGAGAAACAGGUCCAGGAGGCAGCUCACCUUUGUCAUACAUGCAUGAGGCCCUGGGUUUGACCUCGCUACGGCUCUUUAAAAAGUAAUGGAGGUGUCCAGCCCACCAGUGUGGUCUGGAGCCUGUGGGAGACCGAGUGUGUGGUGGUCCCUGUGCAGUCAGCUGCGAUGUGGCCGUUUGACAUGAUGUCUCUCCCUCUGGCAGGUGCACCGGUUGGUGGUGGUGGAUGAGGACGACAGCAUCGUGGGUAUAAUCUCCCUGUCGGACAUCCUGCAGGCUCUGAUCCUCAGCCCCGCAGGUGCCAGACAGAAGGAGCCAGAAGCCGAAUGACACUGGAGUCCUCAUGGCGCGCACGGACUUGAGCUGAGACUCCGGGUCACGCUUUGCCUGGCACACCGGCGCUUCGGGACUGAGCGUGCAUCUCCUGGGGUCCCCCCGGCCCAGGGGGCUGCUUUCCAGGGGUGCCGAGGCCAGCCAGAGCGGACAGGGGGUUAGGCCCUGCCUCCAGAGCCCUCAUUAAAGAUGCCCUCCAGGCCCUGCUGAUGCUCCCAUGUCAGCGGGCAGGUGGCGGCCCGGCCGAGGGUGUGGCAGGCUCAGACUAGUGCCUUCCCUCAGAUGCACCCACGUGGCACCAUGCCACCCUGGGACCGGCGUGUCCCCAUGUUGACACUGGGCCACCGGCAGCAGCGACUUUCAGACUCCCGGGAGCGUCCCCUCCCCACCUGUGUUCUGUCCUGAGUACCAGAGAGAGGCGGCCACGCUGCCCCCCACACCCAUCCCCCAUCCCCACCGACAGCUUUAUUUAUUUUUUUACACCUUGCGUGCAUGGGUUCGAGACUCCGGCCGUGGGGAAAAAAAUCACCACCACCAGUUCUCUCUCUCUCUCUCUCUCUCUUUUCUUUUGAAGCGGCUGAUUUCUCCAUUUGUCUUGAGUUCUCCGGCCUGGGAAGGAGGAGAGGAGAGUAUCAGCCCUGUCUGGUUAAACUGGUGGGGGCACCCGCCCGAGGGGGAAGGCACAAGGCUGGGGGACCCUGGUGCCCGGAGAGACCUUGGUGUGUGGAGAUGUGAAGCGGCCUCUGCGAGUGUGACCAUCACCGGGACAGUGUCCCCCGGGGCUGCACUCAGCAAUCCGUCCCCCAGGGCAGCCCCGACCUGCCGAGUGUACAGAAAAAUAGGGAGCAGAGCCUACAUGGGUUUUGUGCUUUGUCUGGGGGUUAUUAGCAGGUCUUUGUUGUUGCUGUUGUUAUUGUUUUCCAGAUUGAAAAUUUAAAAUAAACCUUCCUAUCUGCC
This is a long non-coding RNA of Erinaceus europaeus (western European hedgehog), 1544 nucleotides long. RefSeq lists it as uncharacterized. NCBI's taxonomy places the organism in Eukaryota, Metazoa, Chordata, Mammalia, Eulipotyphla, Erinaceidae. The record is from RefSeq and is a predicted model, not a curated record. The transcript has 2 exons.